RNAcentral lists this ribosomal RNA (329 nucleotides) under uncultured eukaryote. RNAcentral's name for it is "partial 18S ribosomal RNA". It matches the Rfam family "Eukaryotic small subunit ribosomal RNA", at positions 1470 to 1796 of the family's 1831-position model. The record is from RNAcentral.
CCCUUAGAUGUCCUGGGCUGCACGCGCGCUACACUGACGAACUCAACGAGCUUAUCACCUUGGCAGAGAUGUCUGGGUAAUCUUUUGAAAGUUCGUCGUGCUGGGGAUAGAUGAUUGUAAUUAUUCGUCUUGAACGAGGAAUUCCUAGUAAGUGUGAGUCAUCAGCUCGCGCUGAUUACGUCCCUGCCCUUUGUACACACCGCCCGUCGCUCCUACCGAUUGAAUGGUCCGGUGAGGUUCUCGGAUUUUUUCUGUUGUUUGGUUCGCUAAACGAUUGAAGAGGGAAGUUACCCAAACCUUACCAUUUAGAGGAAGGAGAAGUCGUAACA